This 253-nucleotide ribosomal RNA is filed under the name uncultured bacterium. RNAcentral's name for it is "partial 16S ribosomal RNA". It matches the Rfam family "Bacterial small subunit ribosomal RNA", at positions 524 to 776 of the family's 1533-position model. The record is from RNAcentral.
UACAGAGGCCACGAGCGUUAGGCGGAAUCACUGGGCUUAAAGCGUGUGUAGGUGGAUCGGUAAGUACCUUGUGGAAUCCCACGACUCAAUCGUGGAACUGCUUGGUAUACUGCCAGUCUUGAGGCACUCAGGGGCGAGCGGAACAGAUGGUGGAGCGGUGAAAUGCGUAGAUAUCAUCUGGAACGCCAAUGGUGAAGACAGCUCGCUGGGGGUGUUCUGACACUGAGACACGAAAGCCAGGGGAGCAAACGGG